Long non-coding RNA from Raphanus sativus (radish), 1053 nucleotides. RefSeq lists it as uncharacterized. Lineage: Eukaryota; Viridiplantae; Streptophyta; Magnoliopsida; Brassicales; Brassicaceae. The record is from RefSeq and is a predicted model, not a curated record. The transcript has 3 exons.
CGAGCCUCAAGGACACGUGUACCGAUCCCCCCUUCAACGGCGCUGCAUCACUUCUUCUCCGGAGGGCACAGCUGAGACCCACCAACCGUCGCUAACCUCGGAACCAAACCAACUGCUAUCUCACUUCCAAACUCGAGAGAGACUGGAACCGCGUCACCCAUAAUCUUCGAUUAGCUUCAGACCACUGGAGAGCUUCGUCGGGACACACCCGAGAUCUCAACCCGAGGCUUCGCGGUCUCCAUCUUCAUCCACAUCGCUUCAUUGAAGGACUCAAGAUCUCAUCCAGAUCCGAAACAAACCCCACAACCACACCAACACUUGGACCAUCACCGGAGUAUAAGGAGCCUCCGCCUAAAAAGAACCCUAGAGCCGACCGUUCCCCUUUGAAGGAUAGGGGCAAUGACGGAACGCCUAUGCCGACCGCCCACCGAGAAGAAAGGUACGACGACGGAACCUAAAGAUCUACCCUAAAACCAAACGAAAGGAAGCUUUCAACAUGCUGUUAACAAAGGAGACCGGACCGACGGACGGUGACUAUGAAAGCUCACUCCGUCGGCCGGAUAGAUUUAACUGUUACGGAGGUGGCGUGAUUGUAAGCUACGAGCUUUUGAUAACGCAAAGCACCGGACUUAUGUCGAUUUGAAGGACAAAUGGAAGACGUUGGUGCACACAACAAGAAUAUCGCCGCAACAAAGGAGAGGUGAGCCAGUUCCGCAGGAGCUCUUAGACCGUGUACUGAUGGCUCAUGCCUACUGGUCCCAGCAACAGGGGAAACAACAGUUGCUAGAGGGACCUCAGAAGCUCGAGACCAGUCUUGGUCUAUAGACUGGGAACAAAAUGUUAUCCCCGCGGCGUGAAAAUGAACGUUAGCGGGAUGAACCUGAUAUCUUUUUUUCUUUCAUAUAUACUUUUUUUUGUUUAUUUGUUAUGUUAUGUAUUUGAAAAUAUUCAUUGUGUAAGGAGAAAAAAGGAAUGGAAUGUGGUGAAGAAGAGGAUAGAGAUGAAGAUAGGUGAAGUCUAAUGUAAUUUUCACAGUGCUUGGUUAUAAUAACA